GUGGGGAAUCUUGGACAAUGGGCGCAAGCCUGAUCCAGCAAUGCCGCGUGCAGGAAGAAGGCCUUCGGGUUGUAAACUGCUUUUGUACGGAACGAACCGGUCCUGGUUAAUACCUGGGGCUAAUGACGGUACCGUAAGAAUAAGCACCGGCUAACUACGUGCCAGCAGCCGCGGUAAUACGUAGGGUGCGAGCGUUAAUCGGAAUUACUGGGAGUAAAGCGUGCGCAGGCGGUGCUGUAAGACAGGCGUGAAAUCCCCGGGCUCAACCUGGGAAUUGCGCUUGUGACUGCAGUGCUGGAGUACAGCAGAAGGAGAUGGAAUUCCGCGUGUAGCAGUGAAAUGCGUAGAUAUGCGGAGGAACACCGAUGGCGAAGGCAGUCCCCUGGGCCUGUACUGACGCUCAUGCUCGAAAGCGUGGGGAGCAAACAGGAUUAGAUACCCUUGUAGUCC
Molecule: ribosomal RNA, 450 nt
Filed under: uncultured bacterium
Lineage: Bacteria
Description: partial 16S ribosomal RNA
Rfam family: Bacterial small subunit ribosomal RNA
Source: RNAcentral